RNAcentral lists this ribosomal RNA (253 nucleotides) under uncultured bacterium. RNAcentral describes it as "partial 16S ribosomal RNA". It matches the Rfam family "Bacterial small subunit ribosomal RNA", at positions 524 to 776 of the family's 1533-position model. The record is from RNAcentral.
UACAGGGGGGGCAAGCGUUGUUCGGAAUUACUGGGCGUAAAGGGUCUGUAGGUGGCCAACUAAGUCAGACGUGAAAUCCCUCAGCUUAACUGGGGAACUGCGUCUGAUACUGGAUGGCUCGAGUGUGGGGGAGGAAUGCGGAAUUCCAGGUGUAGCGGUGAAAUGCGUAGAUAUCUGGAGGAACACCGGUGGCGAAGGCGGCAUUCUGGACCACAACUGACACUGAGAGACGAAAGCCAGGGGAGCAAACGGG